RNAcentral lists this ribosomal RNA (253 nucleotides) under uncultured bacterium. RNAcentral describes it as "partial 16S ribosomal RNA". It matches the Rfam family "Bacterial small subunit ribosomal RNA", at positions 524 to 776 of the family's 1533-position model. The record is from RNAcentral.
UACGGAGGGGGCUAGCGUUGUUCGGAAUUACUGGGCGUAAAGCGCACGUAGGCGGCUUUGUAAGUUAGAGGUGAAAGCCCGGGGCUCAACUCCGGAAUUGCCUUUAAGACUGCAUCGCUAGAAUUGUGGAGAGGUAAGUGGAAUUCCGAGUGUAGAGGUGAAAUUCGUAGAUAUUCGGAAGAACACCAGUGGCGAAGGCGGCUCACUGGCCCGUAACUGACGCUGAGGUGCGAAAGCGUGGGGAGCAAACAGG